GAAGGAGGGGAAAAAAAUGGUUUUCCAACGAAAAACCUUGGCGUCUCCAGACAAGCGGAUGCAAAUGGAAGAGAAGGGGAGAGAAGGUGGGACGCUAGCUGGCAGAGUUGGCCGGCCAAGAGGUCGUGGAAGAGGGGUUGAAAGGAGGAGAAAAGAGGUGGAGCAGCGGAGAGUGGAGCGAGGGUGGCAAGAGGAGGGAAAGGGAUGCCGUAGGAGGGUUGAUAUCGGCUAGAAGGUGAGCUUCGGAACGCAAUGUCCGGCCUGGUCCAGCCGGCAGAGAUGCGAGUAUUGAUCUAGGCUCAGACCUAACCCACCCUCCUCGGCCACCUCCAACCGCCUCCUUUCGCCUCCACCAUCUCCGAGCUCGUCGUGAAGCCAGCCCUGCUCCGUUCCUAGGGGUCGUCGCCGAGAGAAAAAGGGAUGGAAACGCGGGGCGAAGUCUGAACGGUGGAGGAGGAGGAGGAGGAAGAGGAGGAGGGCGGCGGAGAAGGGUAUACGGAGGGGGAGGAUGGGGGCUGGAGGCUCGAAGGAGGACCUCGAAGUCCGGCUUGCCGAGCUGUGCUGCCCCUUCAGCUACGCACGUUCACUCUCACCUCCUCCACCUCCGAUCUCCUCUUCCUCUUACAUUAGACACGCUGCAGUGGUGCUCAGUUUUUGGGGAUUGGUGGAGGGAUCCGCAGUCGAGGAAGGAAACGUUUCGCAAUUUUAUAUUCGUGGCGAUCGAGGAUCGAGGCAGACUUGUCGCGAUCUCAUAUUCGGCGCUUUCUAACUUUAUCGAAGGGGAUGGGGAGGAUCGAAAAUGCGUCGAGAAAGAGGGAGGGAAGGGAACGAAAGCGAAUCGUAAAGAGAAAUAAUACGUUUCGCGUGUACAUCGCGUGGAGAUUGCGUUGAAACAAUAGGAGGAAAGAAAUAAAAGGAAUAGCGUGUAAAGGGAAUGAAUAAUGGGGAUUUGAAAUAUGGUGUGUCGUGGAUUUCCACGUACAGCUGGUAUACAAGAGCGUAUCCGCGUCUCAACGCGUUAUAUAUCUGGUUACGCUCUUUUGGUAAAAUUGUACGAGGCGAUCGAUUAACCGGAGGAAUUAAUUUCGACGAUGCUUUUCACCCGACCAAUCGCCAUCGAUCGGAUAAUGAAUUUUCUUUCGAACAAUUCGAUAUUCCGAAGCGCAAUGAUCGUUUAAAAAAUUUUUAUAAUGAAAUUCGUCAUCUCUCGAUGGUAGGAAUUUAAUUUAAGAAAGGGGAGGGGGAAGAAAAGAGAAGGAGAAGCGAGAAGAGAGAGAGAUAGAAGUGAAAAGGAAUGGAAAAACGGGUCACAUCGGGGGGAGAAUUGAAAAUCGGAGGUUCUUGCUCGAUUCUCACGGCCGUUCGUGCCGUUUAAUGAAUAAAUGGCGAGUUUCCUUGGAGGUGGAAAGGGGUGAAAAUCGAAGGCAGCCACGCCCUGGCUGGAAGAAAGAGGAACAAAAGGAAAAAUCGCUCUCGCCGAUUGCUCCGCGACCCAUUGAAUCCGGAAGUCGCCACUCGAAAGGGAAGAGAGAGAGAGAGAGAGAGACGCGCGCGUUUCGAGCGCGUAUCAAGGCCAAGGUUUAUUAGCGUCGGAUCAGUUUCAGAAGCCAGGCUUAGGUGUCAAGUGGUCGCAAGUGGUCUGAAGUGGUGCUCGUAAAACGCGAAUAUAAACGACGGACGGACGGCCGGUCGAAAGUGUUGCCGUCUGCUGCGGCGGCCCCGCUUUCGCCUCACUUUGUCCUUUGCUCCUUUGCUCGCGCUGCUCCAUUCCCGCCAACUUUUUCCCACCACCGCCACCGCUAUAUUUAGCCUGUCAACACGUAGAUAGAUCGAAGAUGCGCGUAUCGUUUCCCUUCCCUUCUCUUCCCUUUCCGAAUAUUUUACUCCACCACUCGGUUUCACCCAACGUAAUGAUAUAUCGCGACAAUGAGAAUAUUUUCGUAUUUAGGUCAAGCGCGUCAAAGCGUUGGGAAAUAUUAGCCGACGGUAAGGAAAUUAAUCGAUAGUAUAGUUUCCGUCAUCACCGUGACCAGCAACACUAUCUUAAAUCGAUAUAACGGAGGAGUAUACGUGGCGUACUUACGUGGAAUAACACUUCGGUCGGGGUAACAGCGGAUGGAAAGAACGGCGGAUGGUGGUCGGAAGGCGAUGGAAAAUUCAUGGUUCGAUGGUACGGUUUGGAAUACUGUUUCCACGGCCGUUCAUUAUCGAGGGUGGAAGAGGAAGAACUCCCCUUCUGCUCGAGCGAUUUCGGUAGCGGAGUGGACGCGGCCACGAUUUUCGCAAUAAUUUCAACAGUUGCGGAGAGAGAGCGAGCUCUGAAACCGGUAUCCGAGCGUGGAACUUGAAGAGGUUGAAUCAUCAUUUCAUCGCUCCGCUCUUGUUCUUUCGAAGAUCAGUCGAAAAUCUACUGGAGGAUGACUUCUCAAAAGAAAAAAGAAGAAAAAGAAAAAAGAAACAUCGGAAUCCCUGGAAAUGAAGUGACGGAGAAAAACCCGAGAUGUAGAAAUCCCAUCACCAUAAAGGCUGCUACAGAGAUUGGAAGCAGCAGUUUGGAAGGAAGAGAAUAGCGCGGGAACAAAGAUGGUGUUCCGGGUUGUCCUACUUGAAGAAUAUUCUUAAACUUGGGUGGGCGCACGUGCUACGAACUCUCAUAAAUUAGAGAUGCUCGAUCGGCCAAUUAAUACGAUGUUUCCAGUGGCGUGUACGAUCUACGCGGAGGAGAAAGCGUGGAAAGGAAGGAGAGAGAGUGUACGUCGAGGGAGGGCUGACAAACGUGGUUGGGAUUGGCCCGAUUGGCAGGAAUGGAGAGAGAGAGAGAGGGACGAAAAUUAUUGGUCAAAUACUGAGAAAGCGGCAGCGCGUACGUACAUCAGACGCGCGACGCCGCUGGCAUAAAUUAAAUUAGCAUAAUUUCGUGUUGUCGAGCAACAAAGUGAAAAAUGCCGCGACGCGUCGCGACACGCCGUGGGAACAAGCUCUGGUCUCGAUACGAUUUCGAUCACCUUUCGAUUAAUCGCGAAUUACGCGUGAAAUUGAUUCGAUCGGCGGAUUCGACUCGUCUUCGAAUCGAGGCAACGAUUGCAUCGAUCGUGUACGGAGUGGAUCUCUGGAUUCGGAUGAACCGUGCUUUUCCUCCGCGAUCGCUGACUGCAUUUUUACAGGGAAAAAGAGAGUUUCUGUGCCAGAUUCUCAGAACGAUAAAUACGAGUUUGUGCCUGUUCGAGGACGUUUGCGAUUAAUGGAAAGAAUAUUGUUGUUAAAGAACGAUCCAUUGUACGAAUUAUUAUAUAUAAAAUUUGUAAAUCUUAUGUGCGAAUAAAUAUUAUGUAAGUUGA
Molecule: long non-coding RNA, 3338 nt
Filed under: Apis mellifera (honey bee)
Lineage: Eukaryota; Metazoa; Arthropoda; Insecta; Hymenoptera; Apidae
Description: uncharacterized LOC102654992
Source: RNAcentral